CCUACGGGUGGCAGCAGUGGGGAAUAUUGCGCAAUGGGCGAAAGCCUGACGCAGCGACGCCGCGUGAGGGAUGAAGGUCUUCGGAGCGGAAACCUCUGUCAGCAGGGAAGAACGGUCACUGUGCUAAUCAGCCGUGAAUUGACGGUACCUGCAAAGGAAGCACCGGCUAACUCCGUGCCAGCAGCUGCGGUAAUACAGAGGGUGCGAGCGUUAAUCGGAAUUACUGGGAGUAAAGCGCUCGUAGGCGGUAUGUCAAGUCAAGGGUGAAAUCCCCGCGCUCAACGUGGGAACUGACUUUGAAACUGGCAAACUGGAGUGUGUGAGAGGAUAGUGGAAUGCCAGGUGUAGGAGUGAAAUGCGUAGAUAGCUGGAGGAACAUCAGUGGCGAAGGCGACUAUCUGGCACAUAACUGACGCUGAGGAGCGAAAGCGUGGGUAGCAAACAGGAUUAGAUACCCCAGUAGUC
RNAcentral lists this ribosomal RNA (465 nucleotides) under uncultured bacterium. Its description in RNAcentral is "partial 16S ribosomal RNA". It matches the Rfam family "Bacterial small subunit ribosomal RNA", at positions 338 to 795 of the family's 1533-position model. The record is from RNAcentral.